RNAcentral lists this transfer RNA (74 nucleotides) under Colletotrichum incanum. It matches the Rfam family "tRNA". Rfam says of the family: Transfer RNA (tRNA) molecules are approximately 80 nucleotides in length. Their secondary structure includes four short double-helical elements and three loops (D, anti-codon, and T loops). Lineage: Eukaryota; Fungi; Ascomycota; Sordariomycetes; Glomerellales; Glomerellaceae. The record is from Rfam by way of RNAcentral.
GGUCUGGUGGUGUAGCUGGUUAUCACGUCAGUCUAACACACUGAAGGUCUCCGGUUCAAGUCCGGGCUAGAUCA